RNAcentral lists this non-coding RNA (221 nucleotides) under Clostridium carboxidivorans. RNAcentral describes it as "T-box sequence". It matches the Rfam family "T-box leader". From Rfam's summary of the family: Uncharged tRNA acts as the effector for transcription antitermination of genes in the T-box leader family. T-boxes are found upstream of many aminoacyl-tRNA synthetase genes and some amino acid biosynthetic genes usually in Gram-positive bacteria. Lineage: Bacteria; Bacillati; Bacillota; Clostridia; Eubacteriales; Clostridiaceae. The record is from RNAcentral.
AUAAAUACAAAGAAAAGGACUAGUAAAAAUGUCAAUCUUUUUGAAGAGAGGGAAUGGUUGGUGAAAAGUUCCUAGAAGAUUAUUUUGAACCUACCUUGGAGUUCUGUACUGAAAUAAUAGUAGGAUACAGCGGGUAAUAACCGUUAAUAAUUAAGAGUGAAUAUGUUUUAUAGAAAUGUAUUAAACAGGGUGGUACCGCCGAUAUAGUCUUGGUCCCUUAU